This 433-nucleotide ribosomal RNA is filed under the name uncultured bacterium. RNAcentral describes it as "partial 16S ribosomal RNA". It matches the Rfam family "Bacterial small subunit ribosomal RNA", at positions 29 to 506 of the family's 1533-position model. The record is from RNAcentral.
AGCGAACGCUGGCGGCAGGCCUAACACAUGCAAGUCGAACGAACCUUUCGGGGUUAGUGGCGGACGGGUGAGUAACACGUGGGAACGUGCCUUUAGGUUCGGAAUAACUCAGGGAAACUUGUGCUAAUACCGAAUGUGCCCUUCGGGGGAAAGAUUAAUCGCCUUUAGAGCGGCCCGCGUCUGAUUAGCUAGUUGGUUGAGGUAAUGGCUCACCAAGGCGACGAUCAGUAGCUGGUCUGAGAGGAUGAUCAGCCACAUUGGGACUGAGACACGGCCCAAACCCCUGCGGGAGGCAGCAGGGGGGAAUCUUGCGCAAUGGGCGAAAGCCUGACGCAGCCAUGCCGGGUGAAUGAGGAAGGUCUUAGGAUUGUAAAAUUCUUUCACCGGGGAGGAUAAGGACGGUACCCGGGGAAGAAGCCCCGGCUAACUUCGU